RNAcentral lists this ribosomal RNA (253 nucleotides) under uncultured bacterium. RNAcentral describes it as "partial 16S ribosomal RNA". It matches the Rfam family "Bacterial small subunit ribosomal RNA", at positions 524 to 776 of the family's 1533-position model. The record is from RNAcentral.
GACGAACCGAGCGAACGUUGUUCGGAAUCACUGGGCUUAAAGGGCGCGUAGGCGGGCUGCAAAGUCCGGGGUGAAAGCCCCCCGCUCAACGGGGGAACGGCCUCGGAUACUGGCGGCCUGGAGGCGGGUAGGGGCAGGCGGAACUGUGGGUGGAGCGGUGAAAUGCGUUGAGAUCCACAGGAACUCCGGUGGCGAAGGCGGCCUGCUGGACCCGAACUGACGCUGAGGCGCGAAAGCCAGGGGAGCGAACGGG